This 347-nucleotide ribosomal RNA is filed under the name uncultured bacterium. RNAcentral describes it as "partial 16S ribosomal RNA". It matches the Rfam family "Bacterial small subunit ribosomal RNA", at positions 338 to 696 of the family's 1533-position model. The record is from RNAcentral.
CCUACGGGUGGCAGCAGUCGAGAAUCAUUCACAAUGGGGGAAACCCUGAUGGUGCGACGCCGCGUGGGGGAAUGAAGGUUUUCGGAUUGUAAACCCCUGUCAUGUGGGAGCAAAUUAAAAAGAUAGUACCACAAGAGGAAGCGACGGCUAACUCUGUGCCAGCAGCCGCGGUAAUACAGAGGUCUCAAGCGUUGUUCGGAAUCAGUGGGCGUAUAGCGUGCGUGGGCUGUUUCGUAAUUCGUGUGUGAAAGGCGCGGGCCAAACCCGCGGACGGCAAAUGAUACUGCGAAACUAGAGUAAUGGAGGGGGAACUGGAAUGUUCGGUGUAGCAGUGAAAUGCGUAGAUA